Homo sapiens (human) is the source of this 3855-nucleotide long non-coding RNA. RefSeq lists it as uncharacterized. The transcript has 2 exons. Lineage: Eukaryota; Metazoa; Chordata; Mammalia; Primates; Hominidae. The record is from RefSeq and is a predicted model, not a curated record.
UUUUUUUUUUUUUUGCCAAUAUGUACCAUAGGCUUCAGCCAGCUAACUUACUACUGAUGUGAUUCUGUAUGGCUCAGGAGUAGAAGGCUAUAAUUGGUGGGAUGGAAGGCAUAUGCUAAAAGUCACGCAGAAGAGCGUUUGUAGCCGAUUUCUGCCAUUUACAACUAUGGAACUAGAGAUAAGUCACUUGGCUUACCCAAGUCCCUCAUUCUUUAUCCAUAAGAUUAAAAUAGAAAGAGUAAAAGAGAUAACAAGUAUAAAGGUUGACUUAUGAUAGUAAAUUAAUAAACAUUCAUUCCUUUCCUGCAACAGUUCCAGUAUCUUUUGCUCUAAUACCAUCAGUGUUGGGAAGGUUCAUUCCACUGUUAGAUAACUGAUUUUACAAAAUUUUAAAAAUUGCACAUAUAGUCAAAAUCCUUCUUAAGGCAUGAACAGGCAAUUCACAAAGGAAGAAAUACUAACUGCAAAUAAACAUAUGGAAAAUGUCUCAAUGCUAACUCAUAAAAAAAAAUACACAUUGGCCAAGAGUUUUAAAAAUAAUAUUAUGUAAUAUCAUUGGUUAUUGAGAAAUAGGCACCCUGACAUACCCUGAUGGUCAACCUACUUUUAUCAUUCUUCUAGAGAGACAGAAAAUACGAAUCAAUGCCUUAAAAAUGUAUAUUCCCUUCCAUCCACCAUUUACACUUCUAAGAAAUUUCCAGAGAAAAUAAUAAAUGGAUGCUCUUGACAGCAUUGUAAUGAAAAACUGUAAGCAACAAAAGUCCCACCAUUCACAUAAACUAUAAUAUCACCAUAAAAUGUAAAAUACAGUCAUUAAAAUGCUUAUACUAGAAAGACAUUUGCAAUGCAUAGGAGAAUUCAAAAUCUAAUUUCUUUAUUUUACAGAGAGCUUAUAAAAAUUAUUAAAAAUAAAACUAUCCAAUAAAACCACGAAGACAGUUCACAAAAAAAGAAAUACAAAUGCCCAAUAAAGAUACAUUGUAUAACCUUAUUAUUAAAUAAAUUACAAAUUACAUUGAAAUACUAUUUUUCACCAAUUAAAAAUUGUAGCAUCUGUGAUACCCAGGACUAGAAAGGUACAGUGACACAGGCAAUUUCAUACCCUUGUGGUAGGAGUAUAUGUGGACAUUACUAAUGUUUACCAAUACCAAGGCUUUCUCCAUCUCUGACCCCCUUGAAGCUGGGAAUAUGUAGUUAGCAGUAGCCAAGUUCCAAAAGGGUCCAAAUCACAGAUUUCACUUACUACAUGACACAAGAACUAUUUAACCUCAUUAUGUCUUAAUGUCUUCAAAGGUAAAACAGGGAUAAUAACAAUAAUCUACCUCAUAGGGAUAUUUUGAGAAUUCAAGCAUAGUGCAUGGCACGCAGUAUUACUAAUAAUAAUAUAAAUCACAGAUCGUACUAUGUAGCAGGCACUGUUCUAUGCAUUUAUCCAUAGUAGCUGAUUUUAUCACUCAAUAAACAGUACCAUUAGUAUGACAAUAUUGCCGCAUUGCUUGUAAUUGCAAAUAUCUGAAAACAAUCAAAUUGUCCAUCAAUAGUUAAGGGGACAGUUAAACCAAAGUAUACAAAGGACGUAUAUGUGGCUGUUAUAGAGAAUGAGGUAGUUCUGUACAUGCUGAUAGAGAAAGAUUUUUUAAAAAAUAGAGAAAGACUAUUGUUUGACUUUGUUUUUAAAGUCUAACGGUAUGAGUGUGGUUAAGAAAUGGUGGGUGGAUCAUCUGAGGUCAGGAGUUGGAGACCAGGCUGGCCAACAUGGUGAAACCCCAUUUCUACUAAAAAUACAAAAAUUAGCCAGGUGUGCUGGUACAUGCCUGUAAUCCCAGCUACUUGGGAGGCUGAGGCAGGAGAAUCGCUUGAACACAGAAGGCGGAGGUUGCAGUGAGCUGAGACUGCACCACUGCACUCUAGCCUGGGCAACAGAACAACACCCUAUCUCAAAAAAAAAAAAAAAAAAAAAUUGGGUUCUUGAGCCAGACUAUCUGAGCUCAUUUCCUACUAGCUGUAUGGCUUUGGGAAUUAAACACUUAGCCUCAGUAUCCUCAUCUGUAAAACAGGAUUAAUAAUAGCAACUACUUCUGAUGGCUUUUGUGGGGAUUAAAGGAGCUAACAGAUAAAACAGUCCCCCUGGCAUAUAGUCAGCAGCCAACUAAUGUUAUUUGCUUUAUUACUAAUCAUUUUAACAUGUCACAUGGACUGAGAGAUAAUGGGCCUUUUUAUUUUCUUUAUGCUUAUCUGUAUUUAAAAAGAUAGAGAGAUUUGUCUUUUGAAAAUACAAAAUUGUAUUCUGAUAUGAGAGAUGUAUAGAACAUGUCAUAUGAGAAAUGUUAGUAAAAAACAGUAUAUACAGCCCAAAGUCAUUUUUAUUAAAAUAUAUUUAAUGUUAUGUAAAUAAGUGUACAUUAAAAAUUUAGACAUGCACUAAAAUAUUACCAGUGGUCUCUCUGGGAGAUGGAUUAUAAAUUAUUUAUAUUUUCUUCUUUUUACUUAUCCCUAUUUUCUGAUUUUCCUAAAAUCAACACACAUUACUUAUGCAAUAAGAUUUUAACUGUCGUAAUUUAUUUCCAAGCAUAGAAGUCACAAAGGAAGAGGUUAAACUGAGAGGCUUCCAAUGAUGUAACCAGAGAUGGACUUUUGAGCAAAAACAAGUGAACAAUACAUGAUUUACUGAGAACCCAUACGUUCGAUAUCAUGACGCUAGCAAGGAAAACAGCAAUUGAUCAUCAGUACCUAAGACUGCCAUUCUCCAUUGGGCCAGGCUCCCACCUGACUUUAGGGAGGAAUUUGAAAGCCAGAAUCUCGCCCCAGGUAAAUGCAAUAGGAGCCAAAGCAGGUAACACAGCUCAGAGCUGAAGUUUGCUGAAAAGGCCAGAGGGCACUGCCUGCAAGGCUAAAAGCAACACUGCACGUCCACACGCUGGGUUUCAACACUUUUUUCACAGCAGCAAAUCCAUAACGGACUCUGAGUGAACUGGGAAAGAAUAACUAAAACAUUCAAAAUACUUCCAGAAAAUCAUUUUGCAUGAUGACUUCUCUUACUAUGUCCAGCUCUGAGUAAGCAAGGAAGGUCACAGGAUUUUGUUCAGAUUUGGAAGUAGAAAGGGAAACGUGAGGUUAUACUCAGGAAAUCCUUUUGCUAAGAUUCAAAAAAUCUGAAAAUUAACAAAUUCUAAAACAUGCACCUUUCAAUUUGCCCCUCCUCUCCUUAACAUCUCUCCAUAACCUGAGAUGGCUACAUCUAUGGUUGGACUGGACUAGAGGCAAUAAACACAGACACAGUAACCUCAACAUGGGGUUUACAGCGCAGGAAUGAGGAGGAGCCAGUGGCAGGUAUAGAAUGUUCCCACACCUCAACCACUGCCAGGCUCCGCAGCUCACUGAUGCAGCAGACACUGCUUCAGAGCACUGCUUUAUUGGUACCACUUCUGAGAAGCAGCAAAGCAGACAUACGUCUUUCUCUAUCAUCUUCUCUGUCUCUCAAUCCCUCUCAAUGACAAUGACUCAUUCUCUCUUUCAACCUCUCUCCCUUCCUCUCUCCUACCCUCUACCCUCAUUCCCACCCCCUUAUCACUACACUAAGGCCAGCAAGAAGCCACAACCACAGAAGAGCUUCCAGGCAGCAGUGAAGCAGUUCAGUCUCAAAGAAAGCCAGACAGGAGUCCAGAUGCCUGUGUUCCUUCUGGAGUUCGCUAUAUGACCUCACUAUAAUCCCUUUACCACUGUGGGCUUAUUUUCUCAUCUGGAGGACGAAUGGGCUUCCAAAAUGUCUGUUGCCAAGAAGUAUAUCCAACUAGACCCUCGGCCCAUGUUUUAAUUUUUAUACACUGUAAUUAAAAGCAGAAUGACUUGCUUUCA